This 288-nucleotide ribosomal RNA is filed under the name uncultured bacterium. RNAcentral's name for it is "partial 16S ribosomal RNA". It matches the Rfam family "Bacterial small subunit ribosomal RNA", at positions 773 to 1060 of the family's 1533-position model. The record is from RNAcentral.
GUGGAUUAGAUACCCUAGUAGUCCUGGCAGUAAACGGUGUGCGCUUGGUGUGAGGGGAUUCGACCCCCCUUGUGCCGGAGCUAACGCGUUAAGCGCACCGCCUGGGAAGUACGGCCGCAAGGCUAAAACUCAAAGAAAUUGACGGGGACCCGCACAAGCGGUGGAGUAUGUGGCUUAAUUCGAUGCAACGCGAAGAACCUUACCUAGGCUUGACAUGCAUCUCUAAGCGCGUGAAAGCGCGUGACCCUUCGGGGGAUUUGCACAGGUGCUGCACGGCUGUCGCCAACU